RNAcentral lists this ribosomal RNA (308 nucleotides) under uncultured bacterium. RNAcentral describes it as "bacterial SSU rRNA". It matches the Rfam family "Bacterial small subunit ribosomal RNA", at positions 626 to 932 of the family's 1533-position model. The record is from RNAcentral.
UUGGAAACUGGUUAACUUGAGUGCAGUAGAGGUAAGUGGAACUCCAUGUGUAGCGGUGGAAUGCGUAGAUAUAUGGAAGAACACCAGUGGCGAAGGCGGCUUACUGGACUGUAACUGACGUUGAGGCUCGAAAGUGUGGGUAGCAAACAGGAUUAGAUACCCUGGUAGUCCACACCGUAAACGAUGAACGCUAGGUGUUAGGAGGUUUCCGCCUCUUAGUGCCGAAGCUAACGCAUUAAGUGUUCCGCCUGGGGAGUACGACCGCAAGGUUGAAACUCAAAGGAAUUGACGGGGACCCGCACAAGCGG